RNAcentral lists this long non-coding RNA (3935 nucleotides) under Trifolium pratense (red clover). RNAcentral's name for it is "long non-coding RNA (TPRA_LNC001479)". Lineage: Eukaryota; Viridiplantae; Streptophyta; Magnoliopsida; Fabales; Fabaceae. The record is from RNAcentral.
UUUCGAACAAUAAUUUAGCUUGUAAUUGGAAUUCCAGAGAACCUAAAUAACUAUAAAUAUACUUACAAAUUGCCUUCAAACACACCACAACUCAUUGGCAUCAUCAAAGUGUUAGUUAAAUCCUUCUAAAGUUUUUUAUAUCUUUUCUCUGUUGUGUCUUUUAUAUUCUCCUUCAAAAAAUCACCAAAAAUGGGUUUCCGAUUAAAUGUUAUUCGACGGGCAUCAUUAACUGCCAACCAAACAGCAUCAAAAUCUACAGAAGUGAGAAAGGGCUAUGUUGCAGUGUAUGUUGGAGAGAAACAGAAGCGCUUUGUGAUCCCAAUAUCAUAUUUGAACCAACAAUCGUUUCAAGACUUGUUGAGUCAAGUUGAGGAAGAGUCUGGAUACGACCAUCCCAUGGGUGGCCUCACCAUUCCUUGCACCGAAGAUGUGUUUCAACACAUAACUUCUCGUUUGAAUGAGUUAUGAAUCUGACAUUGUAUCUUACUGACAUAGAUUAGCACAUACAUUUUGUACAACAGGAAUUCUUUGUAAGUUGUAAAGAUUAUCCCUUUUCAUGGGAAAUAGAGAAAAAUUGUUAUCUGAAUGCAAAAUUGAAAAAUAAUUUGUCACCUCACCUUUGCUCUUGUGUAAUGAAAUUGAGCUCAAUUACUUUACCAAUUAGAAUUUUCAGUGCUCCCUGCUAUUUGAACAGAUAUAAAAAGAACAGACAAGAAUUUAUUUUUUUUCAGAAAUAAAAUAAAUGCAUCGAGCAUAAGUACAUAUAUUUCUUUAGGACAGCUUUUAAAAAUUUUUGAGUUUUAUGAACAGAUAUGUAGAAUUAAAAUUGAUGGCCCCAAUCAUAUUUUUAUUCUUCCUUUGUACUAUAUAUGAUAAAGAGCCAUCCCAAUGAGAUGUUACUGACACAGUUUAUAAUUCUAAUUUAUUUGUAUACAUUUUUUCACUNNNNNNNGAAUCGUUUGGAACCAGAAGGAGGAUAACCAGAAUCAUCAGAAACAAUACACCCAUUCUGACGCUUGUUGUGAAUCCAAACCGAAACAACAAUAACCUUUAGUGUGUGGAACAAAUGAAUUGAAGCAAUCAAAUCAAAAUGAAUGAGCAAUAAAUCAACAAAAGCUAAAACUACCAAAAGCGAUAAAAGACACGAUAAAAUUGUUUGCCUAGUUCAGCCUACUCUGGGGGAGAGAGAGCUCUCCGUUCCACUAUCAAUGAAAAACUUGAUUACAAAGAUUCAAUACAAGAGGUGCAAGAAUUUAGAGUUUGCCUAAAUUCUACCAUUUUCAAUAAUCUCUCCCCGUGAACAAGAGAUUCAAACAAUAAUGAUUACAAGGUGAAAGAAAAGAGAUUCAAACACUAGAACCCUAAAAUUCCACCUUCUCUCUCUUCCUGACGGCUGCAAAACGCAGCAAAAAGCAGGACACCUGCGCCUGGCGCAGGCCAGGCUGCGCCUGGCGUAGCUCACAGCACAAACAAACAUAUUUCCAGAUUUCUCAUUGCGCCUAGCGCAACCCCUGCUGCGCCUAGCGCAGGGCACGGUGACAAAAUCAGUUUUCUGCUUUUAACAAUUCAAAGGCAAUCUCAACAACGCUCAUGUUGAAGCACCAUAGAGAAAAUCUUGGUCAUAGAGGGUAAUGGAUCAAUCAACAGAAUUUGAGAUUUCACAACAUUGAAGUUAUCAUUCAAGCUAGUUAGAAAACGAAUAGCAUGAAGCAUAUAGUGAUUGUUACGAACUACACGCAUGGCAUCACAAGAACAACGAACACGACAUGUACAAGUAGGAAUUGGCAUAUAGAUUUCUAACUCUUCCCAAGGGAUCUUGAGCUCAGAGUAGAAUAGAGUUAACGUACGAGAUUCUAAUUUGAGAUUCUAAUUCCUGUACCUUUGCUUGUGCAUGUAAUGAAUUGUCUUGUCUGAGUUUCGCCAAAAUUAUGCAGGAUCUUUUGUAUUGUUUUACAGUCAUGCACUUCUUGUGCUUGGUCAUUUUUAAUAUAAUUUUCUUUUUCCUCUGCAAAAAAUAAAGAGACGUAUAAUUUAGACUUAAUAAACCAUAACUUUUGUUAUCUAAGCUCUUAUCCAAUACUUACCUUCUUCUCUGCAGAUUGGUUUUUUACCAAAUAGAAGCUUAGAUAUUCCGAUUGAUAUGAAAGUGAAAAUUUAAAGAAAAACAGUAAUGAUAAAAAUGAAUAAAUUUUUCAUUGAUAUGAACUUUUUACAACCAAGUAUAAUAACAAGAGAUUCCUCAUUGAAGGUUAGAAACUAAACAACUACAAAAAUUGUUCAUAUAUCUAUGUCAGUCUUAUACAAGAGGGUUAGCAGUUAUCUAAUUCAAGCUAGAAGUUAUUUCAACGAAAACAUCUUCACUGCAGGGAAUAGUUAUACCACCCAUUGGAUGGUCAUAUCCGAAUUGUUCCUCAGAUUGGCUCAGCAAUUCUUGGAAUGAUGUUUGGUUUAAGCAUGAUACAGGGAUAACAAACCGCUUCAUUUUCUCUCCAACAUACACUGCUAAAUAUCCCUUUGGAACAUCCGCACCUUUUGAAGAUGAUGUCUUUGAUUUGAUGAUACUAAGUAAACGAAAACCCAUUGUUGUAUAUUUGUGUUGAAAAAAAGAGACUGAUCUAAAAAAGAUAGACUUGUAUAUAGAAGACUCAAGUUUUUGAACUUCAAAUGAGUUGGGAUGUGAAUGAUUUGUGUUGAUCUUAUGCAUGCUGCAAUGAAUAUAUAUAUAUACAUGAACGGAUAUGUAAGAAACAGUAGGAAAGUUGAAGGAUGACCAUGUGAUGGAUGUUAAUCAUGCAAGGUAUGGGAAACAAGUGCAUAUGAAUGAUCACAUGGUGUGUUUUGGAGGACUUGCUCAAGUGUCAAUGUCAGAUUAAUUUAUGGUAGAAAAUGUCUCCCCUUGAAAAAAGGCUAAUGUCUAUGAUCCAUUACCAUACAGUUCGUUAGGCAGAUACCAGCUGGAAAUCAACACAUCAUCAUAAUGAAGAAAACAUGUCUAAAGCAUGUUUACACAAUUAUGAAGUACUAGUUAAUGCAUGAACAAAUAUGAGGUUGUACUUGAAAGGGUAGGGUACAAUCUUAAGACAACUCCACAUGAUAUAUCAUCAUACCCUUUUAACUCUUUCAAACAAUAAUUUAGCAUGGAGUUUGAAUUCCAGAGAACCUAAAUAACUAUAAAUAUACUUACAAUUGGAUUCAAACACAACACAAUUGUCAUUGGCUUCCUGAAGUGUUAGUUACAUCCUUCUAAAGCUUUUUUUGAUAUCUUUGCUCUGUUGAGUCUUUUCUUCUCCCUCAAACAAUCACCAAAAAUGGGUUUCCGUUUAAAUGUUAUUCGACGGGCAUCAUUAACUUCUAUCCAAACAACAUCAAAAUCCGCAGAAGUGAGAAAGGGCUAUGUUGCAGUGUAUGUUGGAGAGAAACAGAAGCGAUUUGUGAUCCCAAUAUCGUAUUUGAACCAACCAUCAUUUCAAGACUUAUUGAGUCAAUCUGAGGAAGAGUUUGGUUAUGAUCAUCCCAUGGGUGGCCUCACCAUGCCUUGCACCGAAGAUGUGUUUCAACACAUAACUUCUCGCUUGAAUGAGCUAUGAAUUUGAAACUGUAGCAAUAAUGAUAGAUUAGUAGAGACAUUUUGUACAAUAGGAAUCUUUUUAACUUGUAAAUUUUAUCCCCUUUCAUGGGAAAUUUAGAAAAAUAUUCAUCUGAAUACAAAGAAAACAAAACACUUUCAUAUCUUUUUCUUGUUUAAUGACACUGAGUGAGCUCACUUGCUUUAUCAAUUUCAUUAUUCUCUCAGCAAAUUGCUCUCUGAAAGGGAAAAAAGUAGACAUGAAUGUACUCAUAAAUAUAACAGUAGAAAUGGAUAAUAUUAACUGUAACAGUAGACAUGAAUGUUACUGUCACUUCUGAAUUUAAAAUUUAAACACAACAAUAAAUAA